AUAUACAUACAUAAUACAUAAAAUUGGAACGAUACAGAGAAGAUUAUCAUGGCCCCUGUGCAAGGAUGACACGCAAAUUCGUGAAGCGUUCCACAUUAAA
This 100-nucleotide small nuclear RNA is filed under the name Microcebus murinus (gray mouse lemur). Lineage: Eukaryota; Metazoa; Chordata; Mammalia; Primates; Cheirogaleidae. The record is from RNAcentral.